This 397-nucleotide ribosomal RNA is filed under the name uncultured bacterium. RNAcentral's name for it is "partial 16S ribosomal RNA". It matches the Rfam family "Bacterial small subunit ribosomal RNA", at positions 523 to 918 of the family's 1533-position model. The record is from RNAcentral.
AUACGUAGGGGGCGAGCGUUGUCCGGAAUGAUUGGGCGUAAAGGGCGCGUAGGCGGCCCGGUAAGUCUGGAGUGAAAGUCCUGUUUUUAAGAUGGGAAUUGCUUUGGAUACUGUCGGGCUUGAGUGCAGGAGAGGUAAGUGGAAUUACCAGUGUAGCGGUGAAAUGCGUAGAGAUUGGGAGGAACACCAGUGGCGAAGGCGACUUACUGGACUGUAACUGACGCUGAGGCGCGAAAGUGUGGGGAGCAAACAGGAUUAGAUACCCUGGUAGUCCACACUGUAAACGAUGAAUGCUAGGUGUAGGGGGUAUCGACCCCUUCUGUGCCGCAGUCAACACAAUAAGCAUUCCGCCUGGGGAGUACGGCCGCAAGGUUGAAACUCAAAUGAAUUGACGGGG